Molecule: ribosomal RNA, 115 nt
Filed under: Holosporales bacterium
Lineage: Bacteria; Pseudomonadati; Pseudomonadota; Alphaproteobacteria; Holosporales
Source: RNAcentral
UUUGGUUGUUAUGGCGAACGUGGCACACUCGAUCCCAUUCCGAACUCGACAGUGAAACCGUUCAGCGCCUAUGGUACUUCGUCUUAAGACGCGGGAGAGUCGGUCGCGGCCAAAU